This 277-nucleotide ribosomal RNA is filed under the name uncultured prokaryote. RNAcentral's name for it is "partial 16S ribosomal RNA". It matches the Rfam family "Bacterial small subunit ribosomal RNA", at positions 524 to 800 of the family's 1533-position model. The record is from RNAcentral.
UACGUAGGGAGCGAGCGUUGUCCGGAAUUACUGGGCGUAAAGGGCGCGUAGGCGGGAAAUUAAGUCAGGUGUGAAAACUCCGAGCUCAACUUGGAGAUUGCACUUGAAACUGGUAUUCUUGAGGGCAGGAGAGGAAAGUGGAAUUCCUAGUGUAGCGGUGAAAUGCGUAGAUAUUAGGAGGAACACCAGUGGCGAAGGCGACUUUCUGGACUGCACCUGACGCUGAGGCGCGAAAGCGUGGGUAGCGAACGGGAUUAGAUACCCCCGUAGUCCCUGA